RNAcentral lists this ribosomal RNA (511 nucleotides) under uncultured bacterium. RNAcentral's name for it is "bacterial SSU rRNA". It matches the Rfam family "Bacterial small subunit ribosomal RNA", at positions 336 to 865 of the family's 1533-position model. The record is from RNAcentral.
CUCCUACGGGAGGCAGCAGUGGGGAAUAUUGGACAAUGGGGGAAACCCUGAUCCAGCCAUGCCGCGUGAGUGAAGAAGGCCUUCGGGUUGUAAAGCUCUUUCGACGGGGACGAUGAUGACGGUACCCGUAUAAGAAGCCCCGGCUAACUUCGUGCCAGCAGCCGCGGUAAUACGAAGGGGGCUAGCGUUGUUCGGAAUUACUGGGCGUAAAGCGCGCGUAGGCGGUGAUCUUUGUCAGAGGUGAAAGCCCGGGGCUCAACUCCGGAAUUGCCUUUGAAACGGGAUCGCUUGAGUCCGAGAGAGGAUGGCGGAAUUCCUAGUGUAGAGGUGAAAUUCGUAGAUAUUAGGAAGAACACCGGUGGCGAAGGCGGCCAUCUGGCUCGGUACUGACGCUCAGGCGCGAAAGCGUGGGGAGCAAACAGGAUUAGAUACCCUGGUAGUCCACGCCGUAAACUAUGAAUGCUAGUUGUUAGGAAGUUUACUUCUUAGUGACGCAGCUAACGCGUUAAGC